UUUUUUUUUUAUUGUAGUUUUGUUUUCAUUUUUCCCCCUUUUCAGUAAGCUGUCUAGUAAAAGCCGUAACCCACAGUGUAUAACGUAAAACUAGGUGGGUGGUCAAGGCUCUCUGGGAUCCUAUUAUGUGGUAUUGUGGCUCCAAGAUCCAACUGUUUUUACGUUUUCUCAAUCUAUCAUUUGCUUUUUUGUCCUUUAUUAUUUCAGUUGUUCUGUAAACUUUGGAGGAAUACAAAGAGUUCAUAGGAAUGACCAUCUCUGGUCAUUUUAUAGAUAUAUGCUAAUGUUAAGGAGCAUAUAUAAAUAUCUACAUAUAUGUGUGAAAUGUUUGAUGGGACAACUAUUCCAUAGCAAAAGUACUGAAUUAGAGACAGAUCAUCUACUGAAUUAUGCUAUGUGUGUAAUAUUUGUGAAAAUUUUGUCUUACGUACAUAUCCAACAUUAACCAAUGCUGAUGGUUAAAAAUUACAAUAUCUAUCUUUAUGACAAAAUAAAGAUAUAUGCCUUACACAAGUCUAUCUGAGCAGAUGAUGGAAGCCUGGUUCUCUAAUUGUGGAAGGAAUGGUGACCUUGUUUCUAUGCACAAAUCACCUGGAAUGUUAAAUUCCCUAAAGUAUAAACAAACUUUAAGAAUUAUUUGUUAAUUAAAUUGAUGUUUCCAUCUGUAGAUCGAGAUAUUGUUGUUAAUUCUUCAGGAAUGAUAGAUACGUAUCGAUAAAUGUCAUACACUUGAACAUCCAGCAAUCUAACAUAGAGAAAAGCACAUAAGAUCAGAGAUAUACUUACUUAUUUUUCUAAAACUUUUGUUCUUCCUCUUUGAUGUAUCUUUUAUUUGCUGUACUUAAAUUAUGUCAAUAAGGUGAAUCAAUUAAAUCAAAUUUUUUCCCCAGGCUAGAUAUGUGGAAAAGCAAACUGACCAUUCUGUAAAGAUGAUUUUCUGAUACUUUGUGGUAACAACUGCUAAUUUUGUUUAUAAAAACCACAGGAACAUGAUUCUUAAAAUAUGAAUUAGAAUAUUAGAAUGAAUAGAUCAUGCAAAGAAUGAUGCCUGGUUAUUCCAAUACUCUAUCAAACCUACUAACAUAUUCGAUUAUGGGGUACCAUUUGCUGAUGUUUUGGAAACUCAAAAGUUCUUAAGCGUCCAGGCUACAUUAUGGAUGUAGAUUUGUGUGCCACGGAAAUAACUGAAUUCUUUUUGUCUUUUUUUGUCUUCAGUGCUACAACCCUAUUUCAUGUCAUUAUUACCUUUUUUCUUGGUGACUGUAUCAUCUUCCUAACCCUUUCUUUGGUCCAGGUUUCUCAUCUCCAAUCUACCUCUAUCAUAUCAUUGUAGACUAAUAUUUCUAAAUCCCACCUCUAAUAAUAAAUAGGGUAAUUCAAAAGUCCAUCAAAUUAAAUAUGAAUUCUUCAGUAUGACAUUUGUGGGUUCCUCUACUAAACUUUCUGCUUAUGCAAAUUCAAAUCCUCUACUGGAAACAUGGACUCAAAGUAAAUCGAGUUCAUUAAUCCAGAUACACAGUCUAUGCUUUUGUUUCUUAAUGACUUUGCCUAGGCUAUGCACACUACAUGGAUGCUCAGGUCAAAAACCUAACUCCACCUUAAGUGCUAUCUUAAAUAGCAUGUAUUUCUGCCAGGUUUGGCUCUAGUGAAAAUAAUCUAUCUGCCCUCUCAGUACCCUCUGUGGGAUUCUUUACAAGCUGUUACUUGUAUUCUAGUCAUGGAUAUCAUAGUUGCCUAUGUCUUGGGGCUUUUAUGUCUUCACUCAAUAUAAGGGGUUUAUCAGCAUUUAUCUGAUUAAAUUUGUUAACAUGGUGGCCUAAGCCACCAUGUUUCAAAUUUAGCCACACAUUGAAAUCACUAAGGGAAUGUACAAAAAUAUUGAGACCUGAGUCCCACUGGUAGAGAUACUGAAUUUGCUUGGCAAGUAGUCUGUUCAUUGAAAUUAAAAAAAAAAAAAUCUCAAGGUCACUCUUAUAUGCAGCAAAUUUGAGGACCAAAGGCUCUGCUAACUCUGGGAUUACCCAAAAUGUCGUUUGGAAUGUGUAUAUUGACAGUCUCCUAUGGCUAUUUGGUUGAUAGAUUUAUGCCCAUCUUAACUCUGUGAGCAGAUGAACUCUUCAAUUAGAUCCAAAAUGUGGCUUCCCCAGACCAAUUCCAACCUUAUCUUUAACUCUAAACAAUAUUAUUAGGAAAUGCUUAUUUCAGGUUUAAAAGUUAAAAUAUAUUAAUCCUACUUGCUAAUUUUUUGGGAGCACCAAUCAUUAUUAUAAUCAAGAUACUAAUUAUAAAAAAAGAAAAGGUUAGUAUAUAAAUUGAUCAGUUUAAAAUUAUGUACACAUAUUACACUUUACUAUCAUCUCCAAAGUAGAAGUGAAUCUUAAGCUUAUGACUUAAAAAUAGUUUUAAGCAUUGUGACAAAGCAUUGUCUUAAAUUUUGCUUUUAGAAAAGGGCAGAUGAGAGGAGAAAAAUCUAUGCAGUUCUUCUCAUCACAUAGAAUUUGCAUUUGUACAACUCUGUACAGGCAUUUUCUUAAGCCUGAUUUAGGAUGAAAAGAUGAUAUACUGUACCAGGGGGACAUAGUACAUGUUUACAGUAUUUUCUUUCUUAAAAUAAUCUAUAAAAUAAUAAAGGCAGGGAUAACAAUAUCUACCCUAUAAGGCAGCUGUUUGGUGAAUAAAACUAAUAAUUUUGACAGAGAUUUUUAGUUUGAGUGUAUUAGUUUGAGUUGUUUUUCUAGAAGGUUUGGAUUCUCUCUGAUCCCUGUCCCUCUCUCAUUCUUGCACAUUGAAGGACAUCAGGUGUUUCUGAGGUGAGCAGGUGGCCACAGGCAUCUUUGACAGAAUAUGGAUGUUCCACUAUCAGGAGAAUCAAACUCAUGCCCUAAACUGGCUCUUGCAAACACUAUAUUCUAAGCAAUAAAGAUUAGAAAUGUAGAUGCUGAAUUUUCUGAUCCUUGACUUUAACAGGCAAAACAGAGAAGGGGGCUGUGGUGUUCAUACUGUGUGAACCUUUCACUGCACUCAAACCCAAGAAUAUAUCUCAAGACAAGCUUUCUAUUCAUGAACCCAUUUCCA
RNAcentral lists this long non-coding RNA (3075 nucleotides) under Canis lupus familiaris (dog). Its description in RNAcentral is "lncRNA (ENSCAFG00845006355.1)". The record is from RNAcentral. Lineage: Eukaryota; Metazoa; Chordata; Mammalia; Carnivora; Canidae.